Eucalyptus grandis is the source of this 1574-nucleotide long non-coding RNA. RefSeq lists it as uncharacterized. The transcript has 2 exons. The record is from RefSeq and is a predicted model, not a curated record. Lineage: Eukaryota; Viridiplantae; Streptophyta; Magnoliopsida; Myrtales; Myrtaceae.
UGCUUUAGUUUUAAUCUCUCUGCCGUGCGAAGCAAUCCCCAUCACUCACCUCUCUCCAUCUCCGCUACUUCUCUUCCUCAACCGAAGCCCACACACUCCACUCACGCCAGCGAAGAUCCCUGCAGCAGCUCCACCGAGUCCAACGUCUUCAAGCCGUGCAUAUCGUGGAGUCCACGAAGACAGCGUCCAUGAGCAGCUCCUCGCCAACGUUUUCAUCAUUUCGACGCCACGAAAGCUCCUGUUCCGUGUCUCCACUUCACGGAGCUUCAGUCCACCGCAUCUGCUUGAAGACGCCGAGGCAGCACCGAAGCAGCUCCGUGCCACGUUUUCAGUCAACCUUGCUGCCUCUCGGACGACCGGUUGACCUACGCUCAGCCAACAUGCGACAGCUGCUUCCUUCAAGUGUUGUCCAGCACUGAAGACCGAAGUCCUCUCAGCCUCCACGCAUCCGACUUGCUCUGUGGGUCAAACUCCAGCAACAAGCUUCGGUUUGUUGACCGAAGACCCCACGACGCCAACGAGGAAGCCCAGCAACCUUCUUCUUCAGCCACGCGUCCAAGCUGCAGCUUCCACGGUCAACUCCAGCAAGAACCGUCCCACCUUGUUGACCUCGUGAAGCUGCCACGUUGGUGCCCAUGCACUCCAUGAAGACCCCAAGCUGCUUCCUCGUCCAUUGAUGUCCAUGAAGACCGAAGCUGCUUUGGUGAACAGAAGCCAGCUACUGAAGCUGGGUUGGUUUUCGUCUUCUUCGUCCAGCAGCAAACGAGGCACUUGCAGCACGCCUCAUCCGAGUUUCUCUCCCAGCUCGUCAGUCCACGCACCUUCAAUUUCGGUAGCCCAGUGACCGAAGCUGCUUCCGUCCUCUUUGUGGCCCAUCUCUUCACUUUCGGGCCCAACCAAAUUCAGUCCAACGUGCAGUCCAGUUCAGCCUUUGUAGGUCAUUUGGGUCGCAAAUCAGGCCCAGCAGAUUCAGCUCCGAAGCCCAGCAAAGCCAGCAGUUUCAGCCUAAGAGAUCAGCCCAUUCUUGCAGUCUUCAAGCCCAAUUGAAAAUUCACAGCAACAGGCCCAUCCAGUUCAGCUUAUUCAAUUGAAUUGAAGCCCAAAUUUUCCAGCACUUGAAGCCCAAAUCAGUGAGGUCCAGCAGCCCGCUUUGCAAGCCCAGUCCAAGAGCAAGCCCAUUCCAGUGCAAGAACAAAUCUCAUUUGGACUGAGAUUUGUUGGGCCAAGGUCAAGGCCCGGUCCAAGUUCGCCGGUGUUGUCGAAAGUCCUAUUUCGCCGCCGUCGCGUCGCCGUUGCGGUGAUUCGGUCUCCGUUUUGUCAAGACCCUGAGGAAAAGCUGAGGAGGAAGAACCUGAAGGGGAGAAAGUAUUUUGAAGUAGAAGAUGAUCCAGAGAGGGAUCUUGAAAAUAACCCAGAUGUGGAUUGGGAUCCCAUCCCUUUUGUGAACCCUGUUUCAGUGUAGAUAGGUGUCAGACUUUUAUGCUGUAAAUAGUAUUGCAAUAUGCUAUGAGUUGAGUUGUUAAUGAAAGUGUGGUUAUGAAUUUUCAAUAUGAAAAAUAUGGCCUACUUUCCUA